GACGAACGCUGGCGGCGUGCUUAACACAUGCAAGUCGAACGGAAAGGCCCUGCUCUUGUGGGGUGCUCGAGUGGCGAACGGGUGAGUAACACGCGAGUAACCUGCCCUUGACUUUGGGAUAACUUCAGGAAACAGGGGCUAAUACCGGAUAGGAGCUCCUGAUGCAUGGGGGGGGAUGGAAAGUUUCGGCGGUUGGGGAUGGACUCGCGGCUUAUCAGCUUGUUGGUGGGGUAGGGGCUUACAAAGGCUUUGAAGGGUAGCCGGCCUGGGAGGGUGACCGGCCACAUUGGGACUGAGAGACGGCCCAGACUCCUACGUGAGGCAGCAGUGGGGAAUAUUGCACAAUGGGCGGAAGCCUGAUGCAGCAACGCCGCGUGCGGGAUGACGGCCUUCGGGUUGUGAACCGCUUUCGCCUGUGACGAAGCGUGAGUGACGGUAAUGGGUAAAGAAGCACCGGCUAACUACGUG
This 468-nucleotide ribosomal RNA is filed under the name uncultured bacterium. Its description in RNAcentral is "partial 16S ribosomal RNA". It matches the Rfam family "Bacterial small subunit ribosomal RNA", at positions 28 to 507 of the family's 1533-position model. The record is from RNAcentral.